Molecule: long non-coding RNA, 524 nt
Organism: Lates calcarifer (barramundi perch)
Lineage: Eukaryota; Metazoa; Chordata; Actinopteri; Centropomidae
Exons: 3
Source: RefSeq, a predicted model, not a curated record
GGAGAUAAGCACUCUCUAGUUCAGGUAGACUAGGCUUGAGGCUUAGAGCAGUUUGCUUGUAUGUGUAAUGCUCGUGCCCUGCUGAUGAGAUGUUGUCUCUGCACUACAGGAAGUGAUGGCAAACCUGGAGGAGAGCAAAUAUCAGAACGUCAAGCUGCGCCUGUCCAUCUAUGGUCGUUCGAGGGACAAGUGGGACAAGCUAGCCAAGUGGGCAGUCAAACAUGGGGUCUAUUCAGACAACGUCCGCUAGCUGGUUCAGGUGCCCCGCUCCUUUCAUGUGUACCAUACCAAGAAACAACUGUCCAACUUUCAGGAGAUGUUAGAGAACAUCUUCAUGCCUCUGUUUGAGGCCACCAUCAACCUUGGCAGUCACCCAGAGCUGCACCUUUUCUUACAGCACGUGGUGGGCUUUGACAGCAUAGGUGAUGAGUCUAAACCAGAACACAUCUUUGACUCAGACAGUCCACUUCCUGUCAACUGGACGGAAGAGGACAACCCUCCUUACUCUUACUACCUCUACGCAG